AUUAAACGCUGGCGGUAUGCUUAACACAUGCAAGUCGAACGGCAUCACGUCACUUCUUUUCGGAGAGGUGAUGGUGGCGAGUGGCGGACGGGUGAGUAACGCGUAGGAAUCUACCCUAAAGUGGGGGAUAACCCGAGGAAACUCGGGCUAAUACCGCAUAAUCUCUAAGGAGCAAAGCUGGGGACCAAAGUUUACUUUGGCCUGGCGCUGUAGGAUGAGCCUGCGUCGGAUUAGCUAGUUGGUGGGGUAAUAGCCUACCAAGGUAACGAUCCGUAGCUGGUCUGAGAGGAUGAUCAGCCACACUGGGACUGAGACACGGCCCAGACUCCUACGGGAGGCAGCAGUGGGGAAUAUUGGACAAUGGGCGCAAGCCUGAUCCAGCAA
RNAcentral lists this ribosomal RNA (384 nucleotides) under uncultured bacterium. RNAcentral's name for it is "bacterial SSU rRNA". It matches the Rfam family "Bacterial small subunit ribosomal RNA", at positions 30 to 394 of the family's 1533-position model. The record is from RNAcentral.